AACUUUCGGCAAUGGAUCUCUUGGUUCUGGCAUCGAUGAAGAACGCAGCGAAAUGCGAUAAGUAAUGUGAAUUGCAGAAUUCAGUGAAUCAUCGAUUCUUUGAACGCACAUUGCGCCCCUUGGUAUUCCGAGGGGCAUGCCUGUUCGAGCGUCAUUAUAACCACUCAAGCCUCAGCUUGGUAUUAGGGUUCGCGUGCUCGCGGCCCUUAAAAUCAGUGGCGAUGCCGUCUGGCUCUAAGCGUAGUAAUUCUCUCGCUAUAGAGUCCCGGCGGUUACCUGCCAGAACCCCCCACUUUUAAGGUUGACCUCGGAUCAGGUAGGGAUACCCGCUGAACUUAAGCAUAUCAAUAAGCGGAGGCU
Molecule: unclassified non-coding RNA, 360 nt
Filed under: uncultured Meliniomyces
Lineage: Eukaryota; Fungi; Ascomycota; Leotiomycetes; Helotiales; Helotiaceae
Description: sequence contains ITS2
Rfam family: 5.8S ribosomal RNA (bases 1-154)
Source: RNAcentral